CCUACGGGGGACUGCAGUGAGGAAUAUUGGUCAAUGGACGAGAUUCUGAACCAGCCAAGUAGCGUGAAGGAUGACUGCCCUAUGGGUUGUAAACUUCUUUUAUCAAGGAAUAAAACGCGGCACGUGUGCCUUUUUGCAUGUACUUUAUGAAUAAGGAUCGGCUAACUCCGUGCCAGCAGCCGCGGUAAUACGGAGGAUCCGAGCGUUAUCCGGAUUUAUUGGGUUUAAAGGUCGCGUAGAUGGGUUGUUAAGUCAGUGGUGAAAGUUUGCGGCUCAACCGUAAAAUUGCAAUUGAUACUGGCAGACUUGAGUACAGUUGAGGUAGGCGGAAUGCGUGGUGUAGCGGUGAAAUGCUUAGAUAUCACGAAGAACCCCGAUUGCGAAGGCAGCUUACUAAACUGUGACUGACAUUGAUGCUCGAAAGUGUGGGUAUCAAACAGGAUUAGAUACCCUUGUAGUC
This 460-nucleotide ribosomal RNA is filed under the name uncultured bacterium. RNAcentral's name for it is "partial 16S ribosomal RNA". It matches the Rfam family "Bacterial small subunit ribosomal RNA", at positions 338 to 795 of the family's 1533-position model. The record is from RNAcentral.